GGGGAUGUAGCUCAGCGGGAGAGCGCCUGCUUUGCAAGCAGGAGGUCGUGGGUUCAAAUCCCACCAUCUCCA
Transfer RNA from Thermocrinis minervae, 72 nucleotides. It matches the Rfam family "tRNA". From Rfam's summary of the family: Transfer RNA (tRNA) molecules are approximately 80 nucleotides in length. Their secondary structure includes four short double-helical elements and three loops (D, anti-codon, and T loops). NCBI's taxonomy places the organism in Bacteria, Pseudomonadati, Aquificota, Aquificia, Aquificales, Aquificaceae. The record is from Rfam.